RNAcentral lists this ribosomal RNA (505 nucleotides) under uncultured bacterium. RNAcentral describes it as "partial 16S ribosomal RNA". It matches the Rfam family "Bacterial small subunit ribosomal RNA", at positions 28 to 507 of the family's 1533-position model. The record is from RNAcentral.
GACGAACGCUGGCGGCGUGCCUAAUACAUGCAAGUAGAACGCACAGUUUAUGCCGUAGCUUGCUACACCAUAGACUGUGAGUUGCGAACGGGUGAGUAACGCGUAGGUAACCUGCCUGGUAGCGGGGGAUAACUAUUGGAAACGAUAGCUAAUACCGCAUAAUAUUGAUUAUUGCAUGAUAAUUGAUUGAAAGAUGCUAUUGCAUCACUACCAGAUGGACCUGCGUUGUAUUAGCUAGUAGGUGAGGUAACGGCUCACCUAGGCGACGAUACAUAGCCGACCUGAGAGGGUGGUCGGCCACACUGGGACUGAGACACGGCCCAGACUCCUACGGGAGGCAGCAGGAGGGAAUCUUCGGCAAUGGACGAAAGUCUGACCGAGCAACGCCGCGGGAGGGAAGAAGGUUGUCGGAUCGUAAAGCUCUGUUGUAAGAGAAGAACGGGUGUGAGAGUGGAAAGUUCACACUGUGACGGUAUCUUACCAGAAAGGGACGGCUAACUACGUG